GCCAGUGUGGUGUAGUGGUUUGAGGGUUGGACUAUGACUCUAGAGACUAGGGUUUGAAUCCCAGCUUGGCCA
Molecule: transfer RNA, 72 nt
Filed under: Phrynosoma platyrhinos (Desert horned lizard)
Lineage: Eukaryota; Metazoa; Chordata; Lepidosauria; Squamata; Phrynosomatidae
Description: tRNA-OTHER
Source: RNAcentral